UGGCUCAGGACGAACGCGGGCGGCGUGCUUAACACAUGCAAGUCGAACGGAAAGGCCCUUCGGGGUACUCGAGUGGCGAACGGGUGAGUAACACGUGGGUGAUCUGCCCUGCACUUUGGGAUAAGCCUGGGAAACUGGGUCUAAUACCGAAUACACCUCGCUGGCCGCAUGGUCUGGUGGGGGAAAGCUUUUGCGGUGUGGGAUGGGCCCGCGGCCUAUCAGCUUGUUGGUGGGGUGAUGGCCUACCAAGGCGACGACGGGUAGCCGGCCUGAGAGGGUGACCGGCCACACUGGGACUGAGAUACGGCCCAGACUCCUACGGGAGGCAGCAGUGGGGAAUAUUGCACAAUGGGCGCAAGCCUGAUGCAGCGACGCCGCGUGGGGGAUGACGGCCUUCGGGUUGUAAACCCCUUUCAGCACAGACGAAGCGCAAGUGACGGUA
Molecule: ribosomal RNA, 442 nt
Filed under: Mycolicibacterium sp.
Lineage: Bacteria; Bacillati; Actinomycetota; Actinomycetes; Mycobacteriales; Mycobacteriaceae
Description: bacterial SSU rRNA
Rfam family: Bacterial small subunit ribosomal RNA
Source: RNAcentral